Molecule: ribosomal RNA, 443 nt
Filed under: uncultured bacterium
Lineage: Bacteria
Description: partial 16S ribosomal RNA
Rfam family: Bacterial small subunit ribosomal RNA
Source: RNAcentral
CCUACGGGAGGCAGCAGUGGGGAAUAUUGGGCAAUGGGCGCAAGCCUGACCCAGCAACGCCGCGUGAAGGAAGAAGGCUUUCGGGUUGUAAACUUCUUUUAUCAGGGACGAAACAAAUGACGGUACCUGAUGAAUAAGCCACGGCUAACUACGUGCCAGCAGCCGCGGUAAUCCGUAGGUGGCAAGCGUUAUCCGGAUUUACUGGGUGUAAAGGGCGUGUAGGCGGGUUUUUAAGUGAGAUGUGAAAUUCCAGGGCUCAACCCUGGAACUGCAUUUGAUACUGUAGGUCUUGAGUGCUGGAGAGGUAGGCGGAAUUCCGGGUGUAGCGGUGAAAUGCGUAGAUAUACGGAGGAACACCGAUGGCGAAGGCAGAUUGCUGGACAGCAACUGACGCUGAGGCGCGAAAGCGUGGGGAGCAAACAGGAUUAGAUACCCCUGUAGUC